AAAACAUGUCCUUUUGUUUAUUUAAAAGGUCUGGCCUGCCCAGUGAUAUAAGUUUAACGGCCGCGGUAUAUUGACCGUGCAAAGGUAGCAUAAUCAUUAGUCUCUUAAUAGGAGGCUGGUAUGAAAGGUUUAACGAAACAUAAACUGUCUUAUUUAUAAAGUUAUAAUUUAACUUUUAAGUUAAAAGGCUUAAAUUUUAUUGGUGGACGAGAAGACCCUAUAGAGCUUUACAUUAACUAUUUUAGUAUUAUUUUGUUUAAUAAUUUUAUAUUAAUUUAUUUAUUGUUUUGUUGGGGUGACAAGAAAUAUAUGAUUAACUUUUUUAUUUAAUAGACAUUAAUUUUUGGUUAUUGGAUCCAAUAGUAUUGAUCAUUAGAUUAAGUUACCUUAGGGAUAACAGCGUAAUCUUCUUUCAGAGUUCAAAUUUACAAGAAGGCUUGCGACCUCGAUGUUGGAUUAAGAUAAUAAUUGGGUGCAGUAGCUUGGUAAAUAGGUCUGUUCGACCUUUAAAUUCUU
Molecule: ribosomal RNA, 516 nt
Filed under: Telebasis digiticollis
Lineage: Eukaryota; Metazoa; Arthropoda; Insecta; Odonata; Coenagrionidae
Description: partial 16S ribosomal RNA
Rfam family: Bacterial large subunit ribosomal RNA
Source: RNAcentral